RNAcentral lists this ribosomal RNA (482 nucleotides) under uncultured bacterium. Its description in RNAcentral is "bacterial SSU rRNA". It matches the Rfam family "Bacterial small subunit ribosomal RNA", at positions 28 to 524 of the family's 1533-position model. The record is from RNAcentral.
GACGAACGCUGGCGGCGUGCUUAACACAUGCAAGUCGAACGGUGACCCAGGGCUUGCCCUGGUGAUCAGUGGCGAACGGUGAGUAACACGUGGGCAACCUGCCCCUGACUUCGGGAUAACUCCUCGAAAGAGGAGCUAAUACCGGAUACGACCACUUCGGACAUCCGAUGGUGGUGGAAAGUUUUUCGGUCAGGGAUGGGCCCGCGGCCUAUCAGCUAGUUGGUGGGGUAAUGGCCUACCAAGGCGACGACGGGUAGCCGGCCUGAGAGGGCGACCGGCCACACUGGGACUGAGACACGGCCCAGACUCCUACGGGAGGCAGCAGUGGGGAAUAUUGCGCAAUGGGCGAAAGCCUGACGCAGCGACGCCGCGUGAGGGAUGAAGGCCUCGGGUUGUAAACCUCUUUCAGCAGGGACGAAGCGAAAGUGACGGUACCUGCAGAAGAAGCACCGGCUAACUACGUGCCCAGCAGCCGCGGUAAU